UACGUAGGGGGCGAGCGUUGUCCGGAGUUACUGGGCGUAAAGCGCACGCAGGUGGUUUCUUAAGUCUGAUGUGAAAGCCCACGGCUCAACCGUGGAGGGUCAUUGGAAACUGGGAGACUUGAGUGCAGAAGAGGAAAGUGGAAUUCCAUGUGUAGCGGUGAAAUGCGUAGAGAUAUGGAGGAACACCAGUGGCGAAGGCGACUUUCUGGUCUGUAACUGACACUGAGGCGCGAAAGCGUGGGGAGCAAACAGG
This 253-nucleotide ribosomal RNA is filed under the name uncultured bacterium. RNAcentral describes it as "partial 16S ribosomal RNA". It matches the Rfam family "Bacterial small subunit ribosomal RNA", at positions 524 to 776 of the family's 1533-position model. The record is from RNAcentral.